Molecule: unclassified non-coding RNA, 192 nt
Filed under: uncultured fungus
Lineage: Eukaryota; Fungi
Description: sequence contains ITS1, 5.8S rRNA gene
Source: RNAcentral
UUUCCGUAGGGUAAGUUACCCUCGAACGGUGUAUGAAUAACAGUGCUAACGUGUUUCUAGUGAACCUGCGGAAGGAUCAUUACAAGUUGUACCCUUCGGGGCACUUCCACCCUUGCAAACUUACUCUGUGCUUGGCGCUUCGGCGUCAACAUUUACUCUGAUAUAGUUGUCUGAGUGAAACCAAAUCGCAAA